AAAAAUGUAAUUUUUUAUAUCAAGUGAUUAAUAGUUAUGUUCUUUAAAGCUAAAUAUUUUGGCGGUAUUUUAAACUUUUCAGAGGAACCUGUUCUAUAAUUGAUAAUCCACGAUUGAUUAUACUUUAUUUAGAAAUUUUUAUAUCGUCGUAAUUAAAUAUUUUAAAAGAAUUUAAAUAUUUAUAAUUUUUAAUUAAAAAAUAAAUCAGAUCAAGGUGAAGUUUAUAAUAAAGAAGAAAUGGGUUACAUUAUAAUUAUAUUUGGAUAUAAAAUUUAAAAUUUUAUUGAAAUUGGAUUUGAAAGUAAUUAGAUUUUCAUAAAUUUAAUGAUUUAGCACUAAAAUAUGC
Molecule: ribosomal RNA, 346 nt
Filed under: Orcus bilunulatus
Lineage: Eukaryota; Metazoa; Arthropoda; Insecta; Coleoptera; Coccinellidae
Description: partial 12S ribosomal RNA
Source: RNAcentral